This 402-nucleotide ribosomal RNA is filed under the name bacterium. RNAcentral describes it as "partial 16S ribosomal RNA". It matches the Rfam family "Bacterial small subunit ribosomal RNA", at positions 355 to 776 of the family's 1533-position model. The record is from RNAcentral.
UGGGGAAUUUUGCACAAUGGGGGAAACCCUGAUGCAGCGACGCCGCGUGAUUUAGAAGGCCUUCGGGUUUUAAAAAUCUUUUCUAUGGGAAGAAAAUGACAGUACCAUAGGAAUAAGGACCGGCUAAUUACGGGCCAGCAGCCGCGGUAAUACGUAAGGUCCGAGCGUUGUCCGGAAUCAUUGGGGGUAAAGGGUACGUAGGCGGGUAAGCAAGUUAGAAGUGAAAUCCUAUAGCUCAACUAUAGUAAGCUUUUAAAACUGCUCAUCUUGAGGUAUGGAAGGGAAAGUGGAAUUCCUAGUGUAGCGGUGAAAUGCGCAGAUAUUAGGAGGAAUACCGGUGGCGAAGGCGACUUUCUGGCCAUAACCUGACGCUGAGGUACGAAAGCGUGGGUAGCAAACAGG